GCAUUUUCACAGCCCUGUAAAAAGUGACUUUGAUCAGGAUUUUACAUAUAAGGAAACUGAGGCCCCGGGGCAGAAUGUCCUCCUUGCCUGUGACAAGCCUCAGCCUUGAACUUAGAACCAUGUCUGCUCCGCAGCCCUUCUCUGUGGAGUCUCACCCUGGGAGAGUGCAUUACAAAAGAGGACACCUGUACACACCAGUAAUGUGUCACUGCCCCCUUCGGUGCCUAACCUGCCCCAUUUCAGUUUGGCUGCAAAGCCAAUACUAAAGUCAACCAGCACUGGACUCCCAGUGCCAGACCUACUUUGUAGAGAACUUUAUUUCUUCUAUUUUUUCCCCCAAAUACAUCUUAUAGCCUACUUACGUGUCCUUGCUCCAGAAGCAAUUAUAUCCUGGGCCAUGAAAGCACAAAUGUAAAGCCAGGUUAAGAAGAAGAGGAACCAUACCAACAGGCAUGGUUUUACAUGAUUACCCCCUCCAGGCUGCACCUACUCCCUUAUCCUGAGUAUUGCUGUCUCCCAAGGCGUUGCUUUAAAUCUGAGCUGCUCUGAGGUCUUCUCACGUGUGAAUGGGAGGCUGACGGAGCUGACCUCUUUAGCAGUGUCUAAGCAUCAGAUACUAGGACACAUAUAGUAUUCCUGACAGAUACUGUUUUGUGGCUAUGGUGCCAUGAGCAGUGAUGCAUCUGUCUGUCUCCCAUGAAUCCAGGUCCAGUGCAUGCCUGAGACUUCCCUCAGGCUAAUCCUGACAGCCCCAGUCUGGGACUGUGAGCCAACUGAGUCAGGUAGAGGAGUUGAGUUGCAAUGAUGACUCCCUUCCUUGCCAGCUUCCGCUUAAUUUUGCUUCUCUGGAGCUUGUGUGUGUGUGUGUGUGUGUGUGUGUGUGUGUGUGUGUGAAAAUCCCUAGGAGGGUCACCUUGUAAUGAGAGUCCUGAUUGGUCUCUGUCAGAUCGCAGGUCUUUCGGCUGCUGUCUCUCUGAGAAAUCAGGCUACACUCCUCUCAGUCUCCCUCUCUGGAAGAACAGCUGAACUGUCUCUUCCCCUUAUAGAGGCAAGAAAGACCUCCCCCCCUCCCCCACCAUUGUACAGACCCAAGGCAACCUUGAAUUUGAACUCCUACCCAGGGUCCAUGUCCAUCCCAACUCAUGGAAGGUAGGCUAGGUCACGGGAAUGGGAUUUAACACCUCCACCCCCUUCACCAGAAGCCUGUAUGAGCGAGGGAUUGCCUUUGUUCCCUUGAGACUGAAGGUUCCUCCUGUCUCUUCCCUCAAGACCCCGUAGUGCUAGCUGUGAUGCAGGCCUGUGCCUCCUAACCUUCACAGCCAAGGGAACUGAGGUCUCUCCCUUCAGAGCCACCAUCCUAUCGAUUGCCUUCCAACUUCAGAAUCCUUCAUGGCUGCCUACUGCCACGAUGCUGUAAUUCUUCUGAACGGCUGUUUUGAAGAGGAAUUUUCAUCCCAGGGUUUCUGGCAUCUCAGGCUGCCCUUGACCUCUCUUUAUAGCCAAGGACGACCUUGAACUUCAGUCCUCUGCUUCCUGAGUGCUGGAGUCACAGGCACAUGCCACCACACCUGUUUCAGUUGGUGUGGCAUCGAACCCAGGAACUCAUGCACGAUAGUUGAGUGUUGACUGAGCAGCACCCCAGCCCUAUUUCCUCUAAUCUUGGUGACUGUGAUCUUCCAGAAGAGUCCAGACUGAUCUUGAAAUCAAAAUCCUCAGGUCUCAGCUUUCAUUUCCAAGUGCUGGAAUUAUAAGGAUGUGCCAAAAAGCCAAAGUUCUUUUUUUUUUUUUAAUUAAAAUUACAUUUAUUUAUUUAUUUAUUUGUGUGUGCAUAUGUGUGUGUGUAUGUUUGUGUGCUGGUACAUAUAUGCCAUAGUAUAUGUGGAGAUGAAAAAACAAUUUGUGGAAGUUUGUACGUUUCUUCUAUCGUGUGAUUCUUGAGGGCUGGAACUCAGGCCAUUAGGCUUGACAAUUGCCCAUCUCAC
Molecule: long non-coding RNA, 1982 nt
Organism: Meriones unguiculatus (Mongolian gerbil)
Lineage: Eukaryota; Metazoa; Chordata; Mammalia; Rodentia; Muridae
Exons: 3
Source: RefSeq, a predicted model, not a curated record